UAACUGCGAGUGAAGCGGGAAGAGCUCAAAUUUAAAAUCUGGCGGUCUUGCAUGGCCGCUCGAGUUGUAAUCUAGGAGAAGCGUCUUCCGCGCUGGACCGUGUACAAGUCUCUUGGAAUGGAGCGUCGUAGAGGGUGACAAUCCCGUCUUUGACACGGACUGCCAGGGCUUUUGUGAUGCGCUCUCGAAGAGUCGAGUUGUUUGGGAAUGCAGCUCAAAAUGGGUGGUAAAUUCCAUCUAAAGCUAAAUACGGGCGAGAGACCGAUAGCGAACAAGUACCGUGAGGGAAAGAUGAAAAGAACUUUGAAAAGAGAGUUAAACAGUACGUGAAAUUGUUGAAAGGGAAACGAUUCAAGUCAGUCGCGUCGACCGGCAAUCAACCCUUGCAUUGAUUUGCUGGGCUUACUUUCCGGGUUCGAUGGGUCAGCAUCAAUUUUGAUCAUCGGACAAUGGCUCGGGGAACGUGGCAUCCUUCGGGAUGUGUUACAGCCCUUUGUUCCGCAUGCGAUGGUUGGGAUUGAGGAA
This 525-nucleotide ribosomal RNA is filed under the name Hygrocybe punicea. RNAcentral describes it as "eukaryotic LSU rRNA". It matches the Rfam family "Eukaryotic large subunit ribosomal RNA", at positions 84 to 597 of the family's 3401-position model. Lineage: Eukaryota; Fungi; Basidiomycota; Agaricomycetes; Agaricales; Hygrophoraceae. The record is from RNAcentral.